CGGCGAAGGGUGAGUAACACGUAACCAACGUACCCCUCAGAUCGGGAUAACCACUGGAAACGGUGGAUAAUACUGAAUGGUCCUAGGAAGGACAUCCUUCCGAAGGUAAACGGCGGCUUCGGCUGCUGUUGAGGGAGCGGGUUGCGUCCUAUCAGCUUGUUGGUGAGGUAACGGCUCACCAAGGCUAUGACGGGUAGCGGGUCUGAGAGGAUGAUCCGCCACACUGGGACUGAGACACUGCCCAGACUCCUACGGGAGGCUGCAGUCGAGAAUCUUCCACAAUGGGCGAAAGCCUGAUGGAGCGACGCUGCGUGUAGGAUGAAGGCCUUAGGGUUGUAAACUACUGUCACGCUAUAGGAACCCGUGUAGGUUAAUAGCCUGCGCGCUGACCAAAGCGAGAGGAAGUGCCGGCUAACUCCGUGCCAGCAGCCGCGGUAAGACGGAGGGCGCAAGCGUUGUUCGGAAUCACUGGGCAUAAAGGGCGCGUAGGCGGCCAGUUCAGUCGGAUGUGAAAUCCCCCGGCCCAACCGGGGAACUGCAUUCGAUACUGACUGGCUAGAGGAUGGUGGGAGCCAAUGGAACUCCAGGUGGAACGGUGAAAUGUGUAGAUAUCUGGAGGAACACCGGUGGCGAAUGCGAUUGGCUGGGCCAUUUCUGACGCUGAGGCGCGAAAGCUAUGGGAGCGAACUGGAUUAGAUACCCCGGUUGUCCUAGCCGUAAA
This 721-nucleotide ribosomal RNA is filed under the name uncultured Planctomycetota bacterium. RNAcentral's name for it is "bacterial SSU rRNA". It matches the Rfam family "Bacterial small subunit ribosomal RNA", at positions 96 to 806 of the family's 1533-position model. Lineage: Bacteria; Pseudomonadati; Planctomycetota. The record is from RNAcentral.